This 76-nucleotide transfer RNA is filed under the name Clostridiaceae bacterium. RNAcentral's name for it is "tRNA-Pro". It matches the Rfam family "tRNA". From Rfam's summary of the family: Transfer RNA (tRNA) molecules are approximately 80 nucleotides in length. Their secondary structure includes four short double-helical elements and three loops (D, anti-codon, and T loops). Further hydrogen bonds mediate the characteristic L-shaped molecular structure. tRNAs have two regions of fundamental functional importance: the anti-codon, which is responsible for specific mRNA codon recognition, and the 3' end, to which the tRNAs corresponding amino acid is attached (by aminoacyl-tRNA synthetases). tRNAs cope with the degeneracy of the genetic code in two manners: having more than one tRNA (with a specific anti-codon) for a particular amino acid; and 'wobble' base-pairing, i.e. permitting non-standard base-pairing at the 3rd anti-codon position. Lineage: Bacteria; Bacillati; Bacillota; Clostridia; Eubacteriales; Clostridiaceae. The record is from RNAcentral.
CGGGGUGUAGCUCAGCUGGAAGAGCGCGUGGUUUGGGACCAUGAGGCCGGAGGUUCAAGCCCUCUCACUCCGACCA